UCAGCGAAAGGGCAAACCCACUGAGAGGUGGGGACGCAAAGCCACGGGACCCGCGAGGGCCAGCCGGGCCAUCGAA
This 76-nucleotide non-coding RNA is filed under the name Actinotalea bogoriensis. Its description in RNAcentral is "Cellulomonas bogoriensis c-di-GMP sequence". It matches the Rfam family "c-di-GMP-I riboswitch aptamer". Rfam says of the family: GEMM was predicted in a large-scale screen for bacterial structured RNA regulatory elements. RNAcentral also lists the same sequence under 1 other name. The record is from RNAcentral. Lineage: Bacteria; Bacillati; Actinomycetota; Actinomycetes; Micrococcales; Cellulomonadaceae.